GGGGGAUAUUGCGCAAUGGGGGCAACCCUGACGCAGCAACGCCGCGUGAAGGAUGAAGGUUUUCGGAUUGUAAACUUCUUUUAUUAAGGACGAAACUUGACGGUACUUAAUGAAUAAGCUCCGGCUAACUACGUGCCAGCAGCCGCGGUAAUACGUAGGGAGCAAGCGUUGUCCGGAUUUACUGGGUGUAAAGGGUGCGUAGGCGGCUUUGCAAGUCAGAUGUGAAAUCUAUGGGCUCAACCCAUAAACUGCAUUUGAAACUGUAGAGCUUGAGUGAAGUAGAGGCAGGCGGAAUUCCCCGUGUAGCGGUGAAAUGCGUAGAGAUGGGGAGGAACACCAGUGGCGAAGGCGGCCUGCUGGGCUUUAACUGACGCUGAGGCACGAAAGCGUGGGUAGCAAACAGGAUUAGAUACCCUGGUAGUCCACGCUGUAAACGAUGAUUACUAGGUGUGGGGGGUCUGACCCCUUCCGUGCCGGAGUUAACACAAUAAGUAAUCCACCUGGGGAGUACGGCCGCAAGGUUGAAACUCAAAGGAAUUGACGGGGGCCCGCACAAGCAGUGGAGUAUGUGGUUUAAUUCGAAGCAACGCGAAGAACCUUACCAGGUCUUGACAUCCAACUAACGAAGUAGAGAUACAUUAGGUGCCCUUCGGGGAAAGUUGAGACAGGUGGUGCAUGGUUGUCGUCAGCUCGUGUCGUGAGAUGUUGGGUUAAGUCCCGCAACGAGCGCAACCCUUGCUAUUAGUUGCUACGCAAGAGCACUCUAAUAGGACUGCCGUUGACAAAACGGAGGAAGGUGGGGACGACGUCAAAUCAUCAUGCCCCUUAUGACCUGGGCUACACACGUACUACAAUGGAUGUUAACAGAGGGAAGCAAGACAGCGAUGUGGAGCAAACCCCUAAAAACAUUCUCAGUUCAGAUUGCAGGCUGCAACCCGCCUGCAUGAAGAUGGAAUUGCUAGUAAUCGCGGAUCAGCACGCCGCGGUGAAUACGUUCCCG
RNAcentral lists this ribosomal RNA (1000 nucleotides) under uncultured organism. RNAcentral describes it as "bacterial SSU rRNA". It matches the Rfam family "Bacterial small subunit ribosomal RNA", at positions 356 to 1376 of the family's 1533-position model. The record is from RNAcentral.